UCGGGCCGACUUGGGUGGGAUUUUGCGGGGGGAGAAGAAGGGAGAAGGUGACGUGCGUGGCGCCAUGAUCGGAAGUCUGGGUUUAAUUCUGAGCUGCGAGGUGGAAAAUUUGCGUGGGAGGGCGAUUUCAGAGGUGAAGCCUCGCCUUCCCUUCUCCUGAGCAGAAGGGUUGUUCUAAAAGCUGGUUUUGCUGGUCUUUCAUUCUGGCUACAGGCAAUUCCAAAGGCCUAAAAUAAGAAACUGGUAUUGUCUUACCAUUUGACUUUUAAGAAAUCAGAUCUCGCACUCCAGAGAAAAAGGGUUUUAAGUAUGUGAAGAUGCUGAGGCUGUGGCAUAAACAUUGCAAUGCACAGAAGUUAGAGAACAAGACUGUCUUAUGGCCUUGCAUUCUAGUUUUUCUGGCUUUUGAUAAAUUUUUAUCUGGCCUCUCAUAAUGACCUCCAAAUAACUGCUGUAGACUAUCUGCUUAUGGAAAUUACACAAAUAAUUUCAAGAGCAACUGAAACUACUGUAAUACCUUCCUUGCAACCUUCACCCUGUGUAAGAUAAGUACAUAUUCAUUCUUUUUAGAGGCUACUGAAAUAUAGAAAUAUUUACUUCAAAACUUAC
This is a long non-coding RNA of Myotis davidii, 609 nucleotides long. RefSeq lists it as uncharacterized. NCBI's taxonomy places the organism in Eukaryota, Metazoa, Chordata, Mammalia, Chiroptera, Vespertilionidae. The record is from RefSeq and is a predicted model, not a curated record. The transcript is spliced from 3 exons.